RNAcentral lists this long non-coding RNA (1044 nucleotides) under Equus caballus (horse). Its description in RNAcentral is "lncRNA (ENSECAG00000048638.1)". The record is from RNAcentral. Lineage: Eukaryota; Metazoa; Chordata; Mammalia; Perissodactyla; Equidae.
AGAACAUGAGACUUCAAAGAAAUUCCUACAAUGAACUGGUUUUGCCUAAUCUUAAAUCGUUCUUUUUUCUCCACCUCCUCACAUUCUUUGCUGCACUUAAGCAGUAAAGUUUGAGAAAAAUUGCUAUGUCGACUUGAUUCAAUAUCAUAGAUCUAGCCUUUUGCUUAAAGAUGGCCACAAUUUAUUUAUUCAACCGUUAUUUAUUGAUGGCCUACUAUGUGUAGCAUUGUAUAACGUGCAUUUCCUCUUCUUUUCUCUGCAGCAGCCCUAUACUAUGUAAGGCAGCUUCCUUUCAACCUCGGUAAUCCAAGCUGCACUUUACGCCUACACAUUUUUAAGCCCUUGAGAAGCAUGACUGCCCUCAAAGCCAUCAGCACAGAGGAGGGGAGCUGUCACAUCCUAGACUGACCUUCAGCUGAGAGGUGAGCCGCGGAGCCCUGGAGACAAAAGAAAGGAGACCUGGCGAGAGACAGAAUGAUAAGAAGAGUCCUGGGCAGCAAGGCAGACCUUGUUUCUGCUUCAGCGUGGGCCAACAACUGGGUGUGCUAACUUGUAGAGAAGAGAAACGGAGGUUUGGAGAGGUUAACCUGCCCGCAGUCAUGGCUGUCAGAGAGUUUGCCAGCCUUUGCUCGAGGGCCCAUUUGUCAUCUGUAUUGAACCAGCAGGAAUAAAAGAGCAUGGAGAAGUUAUAAACACUUCUUUAAAGCCUUGGAUCAGAGAAGAUUCAGAGGAUCAAGUGGAGGAUUCCAAGGCCCCAGGAGAUGGAUCAGCCAACAGAUGGAAGGAGCAGCCUGGAACCCUGAAUUACUGAGAAGAGCAAAGUUUCCUUCCCACACUCUUCCCUCUGCCCUAUCCCCACUGAGUCACACUGGAUUGUAACAUGAGCCACAAAUAAGUCUUCAUUUUGUUAAGCUGCUGAGAUUAUGGGAUAUUUUAGCACAACAGCUAUCAUUUCCCCUGCCUAAUAUAAGGAGCUUGUGGACUGGUAGGAAAAAUAGGACAAAUAUAAAAAAUUACAAUACAAAUUGGAAAGUGAGAAGGACC